UAUUGGCACUGCAACUUUCACCCUUUGGCACUGCAACUUUCACCCUUCAAAAGACCCCUUGGAUCCGACUGUAAAAACUUAUCCUUAAUGCUAUGCUAGUCUCUACCACCACAACUAUCACUCCAUCAUCUCAGUUGCCAAAACAUCCCAAGAAGUUUAGAAGAAUUAAAACACCAUGUAUGUGAGUAAAUCACAAACUUAAGCAAUGCAACUAAAGGAGGAGCUUACCUAAUUCAGAGGGGCAAUCAAUCCAUGCCCUAUUACCUGCACGAGGUGAAAGCCCUUGCAGAUAAGAUUGCCU
This 301-nucleotide long non-coding RNA is filed under the name Olea europaea subsp. europaea. Lineage: Eukaryota; Viridiplantae; Streptophyta; Magnoliopsida; Lamiales; Oleaceae. The record is from RNAcentral.